Telopea speciosissima is the source of this 300-nucleotide long non-coding RNA. RefSeq lists it as uncharacterized. NCBI's taxonomy places the organism in Eukaryota, Viridiplantae, Streptophyta, Magnoliopsida, Proteales, Proteaceae. The record is from RefSeq and is a predicted model, not a curated record. The transcript is spliced from 3 exons.
CGACGAUAAAAUAGAAAAGAAAAAAAAGGGUUUAAGAACUUCAGACCCAAUGUGGUGGAAGUAAAAACUAAAUGCAGGAAUCAAAUACCCAGAUCUUGUUCUUAUAUGUAUAUAAUAAUGGAGUUGAUUGAAGUUGAAAAAGAGAGAGGAGUAAUUCUGAAUAUGAAAUUAAGAACUUCUGGUGGAGUAGAGUGGAUGCAGGAGGGAAGAGGGGAGAGUAUCCAAAUAUGAAUAUCAAAUGCUUAAUUGAAUUGGUGAGUUUUGAAUCUCUCUGGAGCCGAACAAUUGGGAGUCCUGAAC